CGGAGAAUGCAGUGGGAUCAGAACCCUAGAGUGGGCAUGAAGAGGAGAAAAAACAAAUUCUGAAAUCACCAUGGAAACACUACAGAGAUAACCUUCAUAUUCUGGGCAUCAGCACAAUCCUCCAAAUCCCUUUUGAAAACAAAUGCAUCCUUAUUGCUACGGCAGCCACUUAAUCUAGACACAAAUACAGCUAUAUUAGGUGCACUGUAAUGAAAAGUGAGGAAAGGAGAGUAGAGGAGGAGGAGGAGAGAUAAAAUAUUUUAGAGAACAUUUAUAAACAUUCCUUGUAAAGUUGAUAAACAAUCUUUGAAAGACACAGAAUCCAAAAUACAUACGAAGAUUAUGUGGAUUACAAAAGAAAGCACUGCUCAACUUGACCCUAUCAGCUUUACCUGACUUCCUGGGAGGUACAGAACAAGAUUAUUAUUAUGAACGUAAGCCAUCAUCUUGUUAAUGCAGUACACACUAUGUUCAGAGGGUUGUGGAGACGAGAAUGAUAGAGAGG
Molecule: long non-coding RNA, 505 nt
Organism: Homo sapiens (human)
Lineage: Eukaryota; Metazoa; Chordata; Mammalia; Primates; Hominidae
Exons: 5
Source: RefSeq, a predicted model, not a curated record